AGCAGCCGCGGUAAUUCCAGCUCCAAUAGCGUAUAUUAAAGUUGUUGCAGUUAAAAAGCUCGUAGUUGAAUUUCGGGACUAAUAUGUCGGUCGUGCCUCGGUACGUACUGGUUUAUUGGUUUCUCCUUUCUGAAGAACCAUGAUGUCAUUUAUUUGGUGUCGUGGGGAAUCAGGACUGUUACUUUGAAAAAUUAGAGUGUUUAAAGCAGGCUCACGCUUGAAUACAUUAGCAUGGAAUAAUGAAAUAGGACGUUUGAUUCUAUUUUGUUGGUUUCUAGGAUCGACGUAAUGAUUAAUAGGGAUAGUUGGGGGCAUUAGUAUUCAAUUGUCAGAGGUGAAAUUCUUGGAUUUAUUGAAGACUAACUACUGCGAAAGCAUUUGCCAAGGAUGUUUUCAUUAAUCAAGAACGAAAGUUAGGGGAUCGAAGACGAUCAGAUACCGUCGUAGUCUUAACCAUAAACUAUGCCGACUAGGGAUCGGAUGAUGUUAAUUUUUUAAUGACUCAUUCGGCGCCUUACGG
Molecule: unclassified non-coding RNA, 520 nt
Filed under: uncultured Glomus
Lineage: Eukaryota; Fungi; Glomeromycota; Glomeromycetes; Glomerales; Glomeraceae
Description: SSU rRNA
Rfam family: Eukaryotic small subunit ribosomal RNA
Source: RNAcentral